Molecule: ribosomal RNA, 50 nt
Filed under: Meyerozyma guilliermondii
Lineage: Eukaryota; Fungi; Ascomycota; Pichiomycetes; Serinales; Debaryomycetaceae
Description: partial 28S ribosomal RNA
Source: RNAcentral
UUUGACCUCAAAUCAGGUAGGAAUACCCGCUGAACGUAAGCAUAUCAAUA